AUUGAACGCUGGCGGCAGGCCUAACACAUGCAAGUCGAGCGGAUGAAGGGAGCUUGCUCCUGGAUUCAGCGGCGGACGGGUGAGUAAUGCCUAGGAAUCUGCCUGGUAGUGGGGGAUAACGUCCGGAAACGGGCGCUAAUACCGCAUACGUCCUGAGGGAGAAAGUGGGGGAUCUUCGGACCUCACGCUAUCAGAUGAGCCUAGGUCGGAUUAGCUAGUUGGUGGGGUAAAGGCCUACCAAGGCGACGAUCCGUAACUGGUCUGAGAGGAUGAUCAGUCAACCGGGAAGUGAGCCGCGGCCCGCACUCCUGCGGGAGGAGGCAGGGGGAAAUUUUGGACAAGGGGCGAAGGCCUGAUCCAGCUAUCCCGUGUGUGUGAAGAAGGUCUUCGGAUGUUAAAGCCUUUUAGUUUGGGAGAAAGGACAGUAAUUUAAUCCCUUGCUUUUUUGACGGUACAAAAAAAAAAAGCCCCGGCUAACUUCGUC
This 484-nucleotide ribosomal RNA is filed under the name uncultured bacterium. Its description in RNAcentral is "partial 16S ribosomal RNA". It matches the Rfam family "Bacterial small subunit ribosomal RNA", at positions 30 to 507 of the family's 1533-position model. The record is from RNAcentral.